AGGCCCGUUUCAUAUGUGAGUUCAUUUCAUCUGCCGGAAGCCAUGAGGACAAAGAGAAGAGAAAAGAGGAAGAUUGCUUGUGCCAGAUAAAGGCCAACUGAUGGCUUGCUGCGACAAUCAAGUUCCGCUGGAGAAAAGGGAACUUGUGGACUGGGUACUGCUCAGGUGUUCUCUUAGCUUUUUAGCUAAGAUUUCCUGAAUGAGUCACUCUCUGAGACCUGCAUACUCAUCACCCAAUGAAAAUUUGUGAAGCACCUAUUAUGUGCCAUCCUGUCACGUGGAUGCAUCAC
Molecule: long non-coding RNA, 290 nt
Organism: Manis pentadactyla (Chinese pangolin)
Lineage: Eukaryota; Metazoa; Chordata; Mammalia; Pholidota; Manidae
Exons: 3
Source: RefSeq, a predicted model, not a curated record